Long non-coding RNA from Ctenocephalides felis (cat flea), 390 nucleotides. RefSeq lists it as uncharacterized. Lineage: Eukaryota; Metazoa; Arthropoda; Insecta; Siphonaptera; Pulicidae. The transcript has 3 exons. The record is from RefSeq and is a predicted model, not a curated record.
GAAAAUGCUCCUGUAAUCGCUUCGAAGUAUCAGGCGAACAGAAACGUCAGAAUAUAUAUAUGAAAGUGUAAUAUUAUUCGCGCACAAUGUGUGGUGUGACUAUAAUGAAUUCAAAUAACCUCAAUGCGCUUAUAACUUGUAAGGAAACAAGGAAGAAAAUAUUAAAUGAAAUAUAUUAUUGAUGAAUUUAUGUAGAGGCAUACACUAGAUACCAUUUUGUUGUAUUUAACUGUCUUCCCAGAAAUAUACAUUAAACAGAAAAACAGAGAUGAUGAAUAGAAGAUCGAUGUUAUGGAUUUUUUCACUGUUGCAAGUAUACAUACUUUGGAGAAAAAUAAUUGUUUGUGAUGGUAACAGGAUUGUCCCUGUACUUCAGAGAUAAUAAGGCAA